RNAcentral lists this ribosomal RNA (254 nucleotides) under uncultured bacterium. RNAcentral's name for it is "partial 16S ribosomal RNA". It matches the Rfam family "Bacterial small subunit ribosomal RNA", at positions 524 to 776 of the family's 1533-position model. The record is from RNAcentral.
UACGAAGGGGGCGAGCGUUGUUCGGAUUUACUGGGCGUAAAGGGCGCGUAGGCGGCCCGUUUUGUCAGGCGUGAAAGCCCUGGGCUCAACCUGGGAACUGCGCUUGGGACGGAUGGGCUUGAGUGUGGGAGAGGUGAGUGGAAUUCCUGGUGUAGCGGUGAAAUGCGUAGAUAUCAGGAGGAACACCUGUGGCGAAAGCGGCUCACUGGACCAUAACUGACGCUGGAUGCACGAAAGCUAGGGGAGCAAACAGG